AUCUUCAGGGCAGGGUGGAAAUCCCUACCGGCGGUAAAGUCCGCGAGCCUUUUUGGGUUGAGCUGGUGUAAUUCCAGCACCGACAGUAUAGUCUGGAUGGGAGAAGAA
Molecule: non-coding RNA, 108 nt
Filed under: human gut metagenome
Description: FMN riboswitch (RFN element)
Rfam family: FMN riboswitch aptamer (RFN element)
About the family: The RFN element is a highly conserved domain that is found frequently in the 5'-untranslated regions of prokaryotic mRNAs that encode for flavin mononucleotide (FMN) biosynthesis and transport proteins. This element is a metabolite-dependent riboswitch that directly binds FMN in the absence of proteins. In Bacillus subtilis, the riboswitch most likely controls gene expression by causing premature transcription termination within the 5' untranslated region of the ribDEAHT operon and precluding access to the ribosome-binding site of ypaA mRNA.
Source: RNAcentral